AGUGAACGCUGGCGGUGGGCCUAACACAUGCAAGUCGAACGGCAGCACAGUAAGAGCUUGCUCUUACGGGUGGCGAGUGGCGGACGGGUGAGGAAUACAUCGGAAUCUACUUUUUCGUGGGGGAUAACGUAGGGAAACUUACGCUAAUACCGCAUACGACCUACGGGUGAAAGCAGGGGAUCUUCGGACCUUGCGCGAUUGAAUGAGCCGAUGUCGGAUUAGCUAGUUGGCGGGGUAAAGGCCCACCAAGGCGACGAUCCGUAGCUGGUCUGAGAGGAUGAUCAGCCACACUGGAACUGAGACACGGUCCAGACCCCUACGGGAGGCAGCAGUGGGGAAUAUUGGACAAUGGGCGCAAGCCUGAUCCAGCCAUACCGCGUGGGUGAAGAAGGCCUUCGGGUUGUAAAGCCCUUUUGUUGGGAAAGAAAAGCAGCAGGUUAAUACCCCGCUGUUCUGACGGUACCCAAAGAAUAAGCACCGGCUAACUUCGUG
Molecule: ribosomal RNA, 492 nt
Filed under: uncultured bacterium
Lineage: Bacteria
Description: partial 16S ribosomal RNA
Rfam family: Bacterial small subunit ribosomal RNA
Source: RNAcentral